RNAcentral lists this ribosomal RNA (820 nucleotides) under Plectosphaerella populi. RNAcentral describes it as "LSU rRNA". It matches the Rfam family "Eukaryotic large subunit ribosomal RNA", at positions 76 to 920 of the family's 3401-position model. Lineage: Eukaryota; Fungi; Ascomycota; Sordariomycetes; Glomerellales; Plectosphaerellaceae. The record is from RNAcentral.
UGCCUCAGUAACGGCGAGUGAAGCGGCAACAGCUCAAAUUUGAAAUCUGGCUCCUUCGGGGUCCGAGUUGUAAUUUGCAGAGGAUGUGUCGGGUACGGGUUCCCUCCGAGUUCCCUGGAACGGGACGCCAUAGAGGGUGAGAGCCCCGUCUGGUAGGACACCCAGCCCGUGUGACACUCCCUCGACGAGUCGAGUAGUUUGGGAAUGCUGCUCUAACGGGAGGUAUACUCCUUCCAAGGCUAAAUACCGGCUGGAGACCGAUAGCGCACAAGUAGAGUGAUCGAAAGAUGAAAAGUACUUUGAAAAGAGAGUCAAAUAGCACGUGAAAUUGUUAAAAGGGAAGCACUCGCUACCAGACUUGGGUUCAGCGGUUCAACCGGGGCCACGCCCCGGGGCAUUCCGCCGGCCCAGGCCAGCAUCAGCUUUCCGUCGGGGGUAAAGGCGUCGGGAAUGUGGCUCUCCUUCGGGGGAGUGUUAUAGCCCGUCGUGUCAUACCCUUCGGGGGGCUGAGGUACGCGCUUCUGCAAGGAUGCUGGCGUAAUGGUAGCUAGUGACCCGUCUUGAAACACGGACCAAGGAGUCAACCUUAUGUGCGAGUGCCCGGGCGUAAAACCCCAGCGCGGAAUGAAAGUGAACGUAGGUGAGAGCUUCGGCGCAUCACCGACCGAUCCAGAUGUCCUCGGACGGAUUUGAGUGAGAGCAUAUAGGGUUGGACCCGAAAGAAGAUGAACUAUGCGUGUGUAGGGUGAAGCCAGAGGAAACUCUGGUGGAGGCUCGCAGCGGUUCUGACGUGCAAAUCGAUCGUCAAACAUGCGCAUGG